GAUGAAGAACGUAGCGAAAUGCGAUACUUGGUGUGAAUUGCAGAAUCCCGUGAACCAUCGAGUCUUUGAACGCAAGUUGCGCCCGACGCCAUUAGGCCGAGGGCACGCCUGCCUGGGCGUCACACGUCGUUGCCCCCCCAUCUACUCCUUCGGGAUUGCGGGGGGCGGAUGAUGGCCUCCCGUGCGCCUCGUCGCGCGGUUGGCAUAAAUGCCAAGUCCUCGGCGACGCACGCCACGACAAUCGGUGGUUGCGAAACCUCGGUUGCCCGUCGUGUGCGGUCGUCGCGCAUCGAGGGCUCGAAAAAAUUGUCGGGCUCCGGCUCGGCUUUCAACGCGACCCCAGGUCAGGCGGGGUUACCCGCUGAAUUUAAGCAUAUCAAUAAGCGGAGGA
This 391-nucleotide unclassified non-coding RNA is filed under the name soil metagenome. RNAcentral describes it as "partial contains 5.8S ribosomal RNA, internal transcribed spacer 2, and large subunit ribosomal RNA". The stretch from base 1 to 122 matches the Rfam family "5.8S ribosomal RNA", at positions 35 to 154 of the family's 154-position model. The record is from RNAcentral.